UUUCUUUCUUUCUUCUUCUUUCUUCUCUUUAGUUUUUCUUCUCUGCCUUCUUCUGCCGACGCUGAGAGGUGAGUAUGAGAUUCCAUUUAAGAGAAUUAAUUAUUGAGGGAGAGCAGAUUAAGGAGAACAUGUUGUUGAUGUGGUGAUUGUUUGAGCUGAGGAGAAGAUGGGGUUGACGAUGUGGUAGCUGAAGUUAGGGUUUGUAAAUUCUUUAAUUGAAAUUCGUAUGGAAUUAUAGGGUAAUUAGGUGGCUGCUGGAGGAAGAUCAGAGGGGUUGAGGUUUAAUUACGGUUUUGAAGUUGUUAUGUUGAUUGAAGAAUUAGGGUUUCAUCUUAGGCCUGAGAUUAAUAAGAGUAAUUGGGAAAUUAAGGUUUGGUUUGAAUUGAGAGGUGAACUGAGUUGUUAAUGGAUGAAGAAUUGAGGAUUAAUACUGAAUCGAUGAAGUGAAGCUGUUCUAAAGGUGAAUCGGAAAGAAAAGGUAAAUUACGGUUCUUCUGAUUUGAAAAUUAAGUUUUGUGAAUCUGAUUAAUUGAUUGAGUAAUUAAUCUUGGGUUUAUUUCUGAUUUGAGUAGAAAUGGUUGUAUGAAGUUCAAUUUUGAUUCAAGAGGAAUUAGGGUCUGUUCUUUCUUAAUCUAGAAUAUAGAAUCCUGGUGUUUGAAUAUUUUUCUUGAGAUAGAAGAAAAGUUGGAUAUUAUGGGUCGCGCUGUGUGAAAUUUAUAUAAUUGUGGUUGUAGUUUCGGUUUUGGUUGAAUUACAGGGGAUUUGAAUAAUAGUGGAGGUCUGAGAAUGUCUGUACUGGUGGUGGUAAUGAAAUUGGUUAAACUGAGUUGUUGGUUGGUUUGAGUGCAGAUUGAAGUUGAAAUUAUGGAUAGUGAUAUUGAAUUGAGAUGUUGAAACAUGGAUUAGAUGUAUGAGCUACGUUUACUGUUAAAAUUGAGUUACAUGAAGAAGAGUUGUGGUGGCUUUGUUUAAGAAGAGAAUGUAGAGGAAUUGAGUAAUCACAGAUGUGAAGUUGGAGCUAUUGCUGUGCUGAAGUGGAGAUUCAGGUGAUGUUGGUUUGAUUUAGAAUGGAAGAGUGUUUGUAGAUAUCGCUUUGAACAUAGUUGAGAAGUUGCAGUUGGAGUUGGAGAUAAUCUGGUGGUGGUGUUGCUGUUGUGAGAGUUGUUGUAGUUGCAGGCGGGGAAGGUGUAACUGAGUUUGGUAGUAGUGUUGAUUCUAAAUGGAUUGCAAGUUUAAAUGAAUGGAUUAAGGCUAUGUGAACUAGAGAAAGUAAUUGAAGGUGACUGUAAUUGGCUUUGGUGUUGAUUAUAGAAUUGCAAUUAGUGUUGCUGUAAAGCUUGGAACUGCAAUUGCAGUUAGUUUGUAUUAACAUCGAUCGAUUCAAGGAUGAACCAUUGGAUCGUGGAUCUCGAGGUAGGCGUGGCUUGUCAUCAAGAGAUUUUCAGAUACAGAUCAGAGUUGCACAUCGAAAGCUUCGAGGAGUUGAGUCCGUUUGUUAGAUUACUUCGGUUAUGUUUAUUAUGUUGCAUAUUAUAUUUGUAAACCAAAUGACUAUUGUAUA
This is a long non-coding RNA of Papaver somniferum (opium poppy), 1561 nucleotides long. RefSeq lists it as uncharacterized. Lineage: Eukaryota; Viridiplantae; Streptophyta; Magnoliopsida; Ranunculales; Papaveraceae. The record is from RefSeq and is a predicted model, not a curated record. The transcript is spliced from 3 exons.